RNAcentral lists this ribosomal RNA (467 nucleotides) under uncultured bacterium. Its description in RNAcentral is "partial 16S ribosomal RNA". It matches the Rfam family "Bacterial small subunit ribosomal RNA", at positions 29 to 507 of the family's 1533-position model. The record is from RNAcentral.
ACGAACGCUGGCGGCGUGCUUAACACCUGCAAGUCGAACGGAAAGGCCCUGCUUUUGUGGGGUGCUCGAGUGGCGAACGAGUGAGUAACACGUGAGUAACCUGCCCUUGACUUUGGGAUAACUUCAGGAAACUGGGGCUAAUACCGGAUAGGAGCUCCUGCUGCAUGGUGGGGGUUGGAAAGUUUCGGCGGUUGGGGAUGGACUCGCGGCUUAUCAGCUUGUUGGUGGGGUAGUGGCUUACCAAGGCUUUGACGGGUAGCCGGCCUGAGAGGGUGACCGGUCACAUUGGGACUGAGAUACGGCCCAGACUCCUACGGGAGGCAGCAGUGGGGAAUAUUGCACAAUGGGCGGAAGCCUGAUGCAGCAACGCCGCGUGCGGGAUGACGGCCUUCGGGUUGUAAACCGCUUUCGCCUGUGACGAAGCGUGAGUGACGGUAAUGGGUAAAGAAGCACCGGCUAACUACGUG